RNAcentral lists this long non-coding RNA (341 nucleotides) under Medicago truncatula (barrel medic). RNAcentral's name for it is "lncRNA gene15560". The record is from RNAcentral. Lineage: Eukaryota; Viridiplantae; Streptophyta; Magnoliopsida; Fabales; Fabaceae.
CGAAAAAAUAUGACGUUUUUCUUAGCUUUCGAGCGAGGAUACCCGCAGAAACUUCACGAGCCAUCUUUAUGAUGCUCUAAGCCGAAAGACAGUUGAAACCUUUAUAGACAACAAUGAGCUUCAAAAAGGAGAUGAGAUCUCGGCAGCACUCAUCAAAGCCAUUGAGGAGUCACAUGCAUCUAUUGUCAUCUUCUCAGAAAACUAUGCUUCCUCAAAAUGGUGCUUGAAUGAGCUCAAAAAGAUUCUUGAAUGCAAGAAAUAUAUGCAACAGAUUGUGAUACCAGUUUUUUACAACAUAGAUCCAUCACAUGUGAGGAAGCAGACCGGGAGUUACAAGCAAG